AUACCUUUCUCGGCCUUUUGGCUAAGAUCAAGUGUAGUAUCUGUUCUUAUCAGUUUAAUAUCUGAUAUGUGGCUCAAUGGGUCACAUGAUAUUAAAUUACUUUUUUGAGGGGGAGAAGUCAUCACAAUAGCUUGCUAUUGAACUUCUUGAGUGUCGCUUAUGCGUUGCACUAUUGCAUAGGCUGGCGCACCCCACCAAUCUUAGUUCAAUUAUUAAUUAAUUGCAUGCAUUGGUGUACUUUACCAAUCUUAGUUCAUUUUUGUUUUAGCUGCUAAAAAGCUUCUUAUUGGCGCUCCCGUAUUUUGUAGUUCUUAUUUUUCAUAUAAUCUUGAGUAGUUAAUUUAAAAAUGUUUUGAAAUGUUAUGUUAUAUUUUGAACCAUGGUAUAAUAAUAUAUAAUACAUAAAAAAAGAAAAGAACUACUUUUCUUAUAGUGCGAUUAUUAGAC
Molecule: small nuclear RNA, 447 nt
Filed under: Medicago truncatula (barrel medic)
Lineage: Eukaryota; Viridiplantae; Streptophyta; Magnoliopsida; Fabales; Fabaceae
Description: lncRNA gene50486
Rfam family: U2 spliceosomal RNA (bases 1-195)
Source: RNAcentral